RNAcentral lists this transfer RNA (78 nucleotides) under Planctomycetota bacterium. RNAcentral describes it as "tRNA-Pro". It matches the Rfam family "tRNA". Rfam says of the family: Transfer RNA (tRNA) molecules are approximately 80 nucleotides in length. RNAcentral also lists the same sequence under 1 other name. The record is from RNAcentral. Lineage: Bacteria; Pseudomonadati; Planctomycetota.
CGGGGCGUAGCGCAGUUUGGCUAGCGCGGUUGCUUUGGGAGCAACAGGUCGUCGGUUCAAAUCCGGUCGCCCCGACCA